RNAcentral lists this ribosomal RNA (253 nucleotides) under uncultured bacterium. Its description in RNAcentral is "partial 16S ribosomal RNA". It matches the Rfam family "Bacterial small subunit ribosomal RNA", at positions 524 to 776 of the family's 1533-position model. The record is from RNAcentral.
UACGUAGGGUGCGAGCGUUAAUCGGAAUUACUGGGCGUAAAGCGUGCGCAGGCGGUUCGUUGUGUCGGCGGUGAAAGCCCCGGGCUUAACCUGGGAAUGGCCGUUGAAACUGGCGAACUGGAGUGUGGCAGAGGGGGGUGGAAUUCCGCGUGUAGCAGUGAAAUGCGUAGAGAUGCGGAGGAACACCGAUGGCGAAGGCAGCCCCCUGGGCUAACACUGACGCUCAGGCACGAAAGCGUGGGGAGCGAACAGG